Molecule: ribosomal RNA, 253 nt
Filed under: uncultured bacterium
Lineage: Bacteria
Description: partial 16S ribosomal RNA
Rfam family: Bacterial small subunit ribosomal RNA
Source: RNAcentral
GACGUAGGGCGCGAGCGCUGUCCGGAUUUAUUGGGCGUAAAGAGCUCGUAGGCGGCUUGUCGCGUCGUCCGUGAAAACCUGCAGCUCAACUGCAGGCUUGCGGUCGAUACGGGCAGGCUGGAGUUCGGUAGGGGAGACUGGAAUUCCUGGUGUAGCGGUGAAAUGCGCAGAUAUCAGGAGGAACACCGGUGGCGAAGGCGGGUCUCUGGGCCGAUACUGACGCUGAGGCGCGAAAGCUAGGGGAGCGAACAGG